GAAUCUGUAGCCAAGCAGGUUAAGGCAACGGUCUGCAAAACCGUCAUCGUGGGUUCGAUUCCCAUCAGGUUCU
This 73-nucleotide transfer RNA is filed under the name Treponema bryantii. Its description in RNAcentral is "tRNA_Cys_GCA". It matches the Rfam family "tRNA". Rfam says of the family: Transfer RNA (tRNA) molecules are approximately 80 nucleotides in length. Their secondary structure includes four short double-helical elements and three loops (D, anti-codon, and T loops). Further hydrogen bonds mediate the characteristic L-shaped molecular structure. tRNAs have two regions of fundamental functional importance: the anti-codon, which is responsible for specific mRNA codon recognition, and the 3' end, to which the tRNAs corresponding amino acid is attached (by aminoacyl-tRNA synthetases). tRNAs cope with the degeneracy of the genetic code in two manners: having more than one tRNA (with a specific anti-codon) for a particular amino acid; and 'wobble' base-pairing, i.e. permitting non-standard base-pairing at the 3rd anti-codon position. RNAcentral also lists the same sequence under 2 other names. Lineage: Bacteria; Pseudomonadati; Spirochaetota; Spirochaetia; Treponematales; Treponemataceae. The record is from RNAcentral.